UACACACCGCCCGUCACACCAUGGGAGUGGGUUUCACCAGAAGUGGUUAGCCUAACCGCAAGGAGGGCGACUACCACGGUGAGAUUCAUGACUGGGGUG
Molecule: ribosomal RNA, 99 nt
Filed under: uncultured bacterium
Lineage: Bacteria
Description: partial 16S ribosomal RNA
Rfam family: Bacterial small subunit ribosomal RNA
Source: RNAcentral